Molecule: long non-coding RNA, 8036 nt
Organism: Alligator mississippiensis (American alligator)
Lineage: Eukaryota; Metazoa; Chordata; Crocodylia; Alligatoridae
Exons: 3
Source: RefSeq, a predicted model, not a curated record
AGGAAAAACUGAUUCAUAGAAGAAUUUGGUGACUUUCAAAAGGCCAGUGCUGUCAAUCUGAAAAAUAUCCUAGAGGGCUGCAGAGAAAGCAGAGAUCUCAUCUUAUCAAACAUCAGAGUUAGGUGAAAGUAAGAUGUUAUUGUGAGAUCUGGGAAGAGAUGAAAGAUUCUUAUGCUCUGUGAUCUGAACCAAAAAGUAAAAACAACAGGGAGAGGGCAGGGGCCAACAAUGAAAUGAUCCUCUAAGGGUGCAGACAGAAGUGACAAUUUUUGCCUGAUCUGUCCACAGAAAGCGCAUGGUUGCAGACUGCUUCAAAAAUGGCCUAUCAUGUGAAAAUCUGAACCCUUAAUGCACGAGGGUUCGGAUUAAGAUGUUUCAAAAGUGUCUUCUGUAGCUUGUGUCUGUGCUGCCUGCCAGCCUCCAAGCUGUCUUUAGAAUGCAAGGGGGAAAGGGAGCAGAGGGAGUUUGGUUUGGGGUUUUUUCAGCCCUGACUGGAGGGUGGGGUUGGGUGUAUUGGAGCCCCCCUGAAGAUGGAGGGGCUCCAAUUUACUCCCCCCCCCUCCCCUGUGCUGGCUCGGGAACCUCUAGAAUGAGCUCCCUCUGCUUACUUUCCCUCCUCCCAUUCUGAAACAGUGACAGGCUGAGAGGAUGUAUGGGCCAUUGCUAAGGGAAACUGGCUCCCCUGGAAUCUCUCCCCCGGAACCAACAGUGAACUUCUGUUUGGUCCUGGGGAAUCAUUGCAACUCAGAACACUUCCUGCAAAGUAUUCUGAGUUACAGUGGGGAGUGACAUUUCUGUCUGCAUCCUAAAUGUUCUCUCAUCAAACCCAGGAGAUAUGAUAAUCCUAAAUCAGAGAAAGUCUGUAGAGGCUUUACCUACAGAAACACGUUAGGAUCAGAGGACUUAAAAAUGCUCUUUACUUGAGCUAGGGGAGUGAUCCUCUCAUUCUUUUCCAAAGUCUUCUACAUUCUUUGUUGUCCCCAUAUUUUGACAGAUUAAUAAGAAAACUACGAAAUCUCUUGACUGAUCGUUGGAACUGAAACCCUUGGUAUCAAUGUAGGUCUUGAAUGUUUAAUAUUUGAGACCAGACUGCUGAGUUUUUGAAGCCAUUUAUAAAAAGAGGGAAAGGAAUUUUCCCUUCUACUUCUAGAAACAGUAAGACCAGAAAGUUUAAAGUCAUUUUGUACUUGGGUGUCAGUGUGUUCUGGUUGGAAUGUAGCCAGUACCUUUUUGAAGGAUUUGUCAUAUCUCCUCAUAUGCACACACCUUUUGAGCUGACUAAAAAUAUACUUAUCUAUUAUUCAACAAUCUCUUCAUCUUUCACCUUGCUGCUGGGUUGCCUUGUAAAACUUUAACAAAAAGCUCAUUUGAUGGAAGUGAAGAUAAGGAGCCAGAUCCUAAUGUGGAUUCCUUCUGUAGAGUACUUUGUGGAACCCAUAUAGUUGAUCUGUUUUUUUUCAAAAAACUUUUAGAGAACAUUCAUCUGUGAAAAGAAAGAACUGGUCAGAUUUCAUAUAUGGUUGGCAUGUAUAGCAUAGAACAAAGUAUUCUUUCAACCUUACAAUUAAAAAUAAAUCGUAUUGCAAAAAUAGUGGACUAAGAUCUAGUAUUUAGGCAUAGAAAACCAAUUGCUUUACAGACUGAUGUACUGAGUAGAGCUGGUCUGAAAUUUUCUGCUGAAAUGCAUUUUAAUUGAAACCUGCUGCUUCAUCAAAGAAUGUUUGGCAGAGAUGCAACAAAUUUGACAGUUCUGAACAAGAUGGAUUCUGAGAUGUAGCAUGGAAUCUAUGGUUAUGAGGGAGAGGAAUGACAAUCUGACCUCAUUGAUGCAAAAGGGGUAUUUUGAUACAUUUCUUGAUUUGCAAAAAAUAAUCAAAACAUUUUAUCUUUGUUCCCAUGUGGCAUGAAAACAAAUUUUAAAAAGUUGAGAGUUGCCGUGAAAUGGAAUUGCUGCCUUCUGGCCAGCUCUAAUUCUUUUCUUUUCUCAUACUUUUCUUUAUAGAAGUUCUCUCCAGAUGUAAUUCCUAUGUAAAUAAUAAAAUAUGUGACAGUGGAUUAGAAACUGUUAGCUACUAGUGUUAAGUGUGAUUUUGCCCUUAAUAUGGGCAAAGGACAGAUGCCUUUAAUAAUGUGCUACCUUGUCACACAACAGUUCUUGUCUGCUCCAAGGGCAAAAUUAUGUUUAACUCUGUGUUAGUUAAAAUGUAUGAGUUAAAAUGUUUUCUAACACUGCAUUUUCCCAGAGCAGCAAGGGUUUUAGCUAUUCUAAUUUUAUCUUCAGUAAUGGAUUCCUAAUUUUAUUGUUGUGGCUGUUUCUCCCUCAGGGAAUCUGGAAAUGAGAUUCAGCAUUUAAAAAGACCUUAGCUGUAAUAGACUUUUAAUAAAGAAAUCAAUAAAAAAAAGUAUUUUUGACUAUAAAUCCUAAGCAUUUUAAUAUAGUAACAUAAAAUGCUGUUAACAUUCUUUUAUUGCUAAUUUUUUCAGUGUUGUCUCAUUUAACCACUUAAUUGUCCAAGGAUGUUCAAAUAUACAUCUGGAAACUACCACAGAGACCCCUCUGGGUGGCAUUUGUUAAAUGUUUCACUAGAGUUCUAUGAGGUGUGCUAAAUGUUACAGAAGACUGUGUGGAUACUCAGGUGUCCAAGCAGCUUUAAAACAGAAGAAAGCUUUGUAGCCAGUGUAGGAUCAUGACGUUGUCACCAAGAGCCUGUUUUUAUUGUGGAGUAGCAUCAGACAUGUCCUCUGCUGAUAUACAAAUUAGUGAGAUGUCAAUCAAGGCCUGGAUGGAGGCUAAAGGGAGUGUGUUUGUGUACGGUUCUUUGAGAUUUCUUCAGAGAAUUGCAUACAGAGAUAAGCAAGAGUUUUUUAGCCUCUCAGAACAAGCAGAUCCCUGAAAAAUGUUGGAGGCCAAGAUGACCUGUGGAGAGCUGUUGUACCUCUUUGCUGACCCUGAAGCCUCCUUUGCUCUAUGGCUCUCCCUUGCAGCGUUAUGUGAACUGUUCAUAAUGUUUUAAGUGAAUAGGUGCUUAUGUGAAUAAAUACCUCAAGAUUUUUUAAGACCUGGUUACCACAGUGACCACCGCCUCUCUGCUAAUAGCAUUAGUGAGUAUUCGAGAAAUCAAAAAGCUGAAACUUAUAAGCAUCUUAAUUUACAUGUCUAGAGAGCAGCCAAAAAAUUGUCAUUUGCUGGGUCUUGUUUGCCAAGUAUCAGCCUAGAGCAAAUUUUUACAGCUGAGUCACAAGUGCCUGCUAAUAGGAAGCUGUGUACAACCACUGUACAGUUUUGCUGUUAAAAUUGUUUCUUUUGCAAAUGUGAAUCUGUUUAGUGACUAUUUCGUGAUGCUGCCAAAGAUUCUGGGUAGCUAGGCAGUUUUGCAGUCUCUGGAGUACGUCAAAAGUAUUGCUUUUUGUGACAUAAAUAUACUGUAUUUUUGAAGUAUAAAUCAACUCUGCAUAUAAGCUGACCCCACAUUUUCAGGUUCGGUAUUAAGAAAAACAGCUUUUCCCUUCAAUACAAGUCCAUAACUACAAAUAACUAUAGUUAUUGCCCCUAUAAAAUCCCAGGGAAUCAAAUAAUCAAAGGAAGGACACAAAAGAGGAAAUGCAUUAAAAUACUAGAAUAAAAACUAGACUGAAAAAAAUUCUAACUUGAUAUUUUUAUUGCAAGCAUAAAAAUGCUGCAAGUUCAGAAAUCAGGAUUGUCAGGUACUUGAUUGUCAGGCAUUUUUCAGGUCAAUCCCAUGUAUAAGUUGAACGCAAUUUUUGUGAUUCUUUUGGAGGAAAUAAAAGGUAGACAAACUCAGAACAAUAAGGUAAAUUCCAUCUCAUGACAUGAACAGACAUUUGCUCUCCCAGGAGACACUCUCCUCAGAGUGAUUUAACCCUGGUUGUUCCCAAGUUGUUUUUCUCCUGGAAUGGCUUUUGUAGUUUUCCUAUUAUUUUCUUAUUUACCUUGGAAGAGAAAGCCUGGACAUCUGUAUACUUGUAGCUUCUCCUGGGAGAGCAGUGACUCUCCCAGGAGAAACUGAAUGUCUGUUUAAGGCCUGAGCCUUAUUUAGGCAACUAGGAAUGUGAUUUGGAUCUGGCCCUCACUGCAAGUUAGUGGAUAGCCAGGCCUGCUGUGUACAGGUUUCCCCACCAGGGUUGCCAACUGUCCAUAAUUUUAUAGAUGGUCUGUAAAAAUCACACCUUGGAGGCACAGCCCUGCACCCAGAACCGUAACUGGAUAGGGGAAGGAGAGUGAAUGGGACAAUGGUAUCCCAGGUCAUUUAUGCUAACUGGACUCCUGCACCAGGGUGCAGUGAGCCCAUCCCUCAGCUACAAAAGCCAAGCUCAUGCUGCUCCACCAGGAGCUGAGGCAGCUGCCACCUGAGCAUAAACAGCAGCAGCAGGUAAGAUUCCACUCCCUCUCCCUUCACCCCUCUCCUGUUCCCUAGUGGUCAACAUAAUUCCCCUCUUCCCUACCAACCUCUGCCCUGGGUUCUGAGAAAUAUCUUGCUAUACCUCUGGGUGGAGGUCAGGGUUUAGGCUGGGAAGGGUGGUAUGGUGUGGGGGUGAAUACAGGACCUCCUGUACUGGGUUCAUUUGGAUAUAAAAGCCAUUGCUGCAGUUGCACAGGGUUGCCAACCCAAUUCAUUUUGUUUUUACUGAUAGUAAAAAUAUGUCAGUAAAACAUUUUGUAAAAAGUUUGCAGAUUGUCUAAAAAAAAAAAUUCUUGGGUAGUGCUUCCCACACAGUACUGCCAAGAAAAAUAAUGGCUCCUUGCAUUGCACUUUACAUCUUUACUGUGCCUUACAAACAUUAAAUGAAAUCCUAUCCUCACAAGAAGAGGCUGCUGCUGGCUUCACAUCUGGCAUGAGAGUUAUCCUGCUGGCUCAGAACAGGUUGGCUCAAAGCUGAUUGUGGGAACAUAGCCAGUCAGUGACUCUUGAUGCUGUUCCAAAAAAGGAGCAGCAUAUGACCCCAACUAGCACAAGUACACAACAGUACUUGCUGAAUGCAGUUCAGGUUACUCUAGCUAUGCAGUACAUGAUACCCACGUGGAGCAUGGCUGCGCAUGAUAACCAGGGCCAGUUUUAUUACAGAUAAAUUGUCCUCCCACAAUUGAGAUAUAACAUUAUUGCGAUCCUGUUAGGCGAUACUUAGAAAGUCCUAGUUUUGCAUAUUCAGUUUAUAUAGCGGCUACUUUGAAUUUAAAUAAGGAUGAAAACAGAGGCCUAGCAGGGCAGUGAUGGUGUAAAGGCAGCAGCCCCCGAAGGCAGUGUCCCUCCUGCUGUCUUGGUCACCCCCGCUCAGUUACACUACUGGAUGAAACUGUACUUGCAGGGCCUCUCUGGUGACUUGAUGAUGCAUGCGACUCUCUACAAUAAUGCAUUUAUUACCAUUGGUUUAAUUUGACCAUCUCACUUUCAAUCCUAUCUAAAUAGUUAAAAUAAAUAUAAAAAUAUUGUGGCUCAGGAUCUAUUGAAUUUCAUGUAAUGGGACACACACUUAAGUCAGGAGGAAAACAUUACAAAUCAUAUAUUUAUAGUAUACUGAUAAAGACUGUUCCCAGCUUCUUUAAAGCUGCUGAGUCACACCACUAUGAAGAAUACAUUUUUCUGGAGCAUCUCUUUAAAGUUGUAGUGGGGGACAAAGUGUUGUAUUUCAAAAGAUGCAUUGUGUUACAAUGUUCAGCAAGAAAGAACUCUGUCCUCUUACAAAUACUGUAAUACCUCAUCCAACAGUGCUUUUUCUAAUUGGAUAUAAAGUGUUUUGGGAUCUUAUUGAUGAAUUACCUGCCUUUUUAAUUAUUGAUGUUGCAGGUUUAAGAUUUGCUCUGGCUCCCCUAAAGGCAAUGAUAAAACUAGCAUUGACAGAACUUAUUGUAAGAAAGGGAUUGCCUUAUGGAUCUUUAGGUGUAAAUAUUUCAGUUUAUAAGUUUGUUUUUUGCAGGAAUGGAAGUUAGCUGGUGCACACUCUGCUGGCCAGCGAGGUUUCUGUAGAGAACAUUCUUCAUUAGAUUAAAAAAAUGUAUUUGCUUUAUGCAUUUCUACAAGUGUUUCAUGUACGUGACAGAUUUUUUGCAUCCACAUUGAUUGUGUCUAGUGCCAAUUUUUUUUAAUCGGCAUGUCAUAUGGUACUAGAUUAAAACCUUAUGGAAACUAUUGAAUCAAAGGAGUUACUUUUUAUUAACCAAACUUUUGACCUCAAAGGAUGAUAUUGCUUUGUUUGAUAGCCCUAUCUUCCAUUAAAGUUUAUGGGGCAUAAUUCCCCAUCUGUAAAAUUAAGGCAAUAAACAUUCUUUCCUUCUUCCUUUUUUCUAUUUCCAUUAUCUGUACUUCAGGGCAGGGACUCUGACACAUUUGCUCUUCAUAUAUGCGAGGUGCUUAGUACAAUAGGGCCUUGACCUAAAGGGGUUUUCAUAGCCAUUACUGUAAUACAAAUAAGUAAUAACUUAUGAAACCUUCAUAGAUUAUCAUAGGUGAUCUGGGUGAGGCAAGUAUUUCAACACCUCACUUAAAAAUUGCCUUGUUUUGUAUAUUUAAGUUGGAACCAAAAGGCAUCUUUUCAGUUUGAUAUCUGCAGAUGCAACUUCUAUUAUAGUCAACCAUUUAAUAUUUCAGAGAUUUCAUUAAUUUACUUAUCUAAUUUAUUGUACAGUAAUGCAAUAUUUUGGAAUUUUGUCUUGUUGAUCAUGUUAUCUUGUAAGACUGUUGUCAUGGGGUUACUAUAUGAUGCUUGCACAAUAUCUAAACCAAACAUUUAACACUAAUUAGAGUUCCUCAUUUUCUGGGCAUUAAGUUUGAAACCUUGGGGUCUGAUUUGCAGGUGUGCUCAGCACUCACAGGUGCAAUUGAAGUACAAACAAGGACACAAAAUACUGAAUAGAGUUUCUUUGUUGACUCUUCCCAUCCUAUGUCUGGAAUAAGAUGAGGAUAUUGUAGAAAAUAUUAUGUGAUUGUGAAAUUAAAACCUAUAUCCUAAUUCAUGUGUGCACAAACGCAGACACACUCAAAAAGGCACAGGCAACUUAAAUUAGAAAAUGCCAGAAUUCUUGACUGCUUGACUUCAUUCUUUUAGUUCAGUUUUUUGUCUGUCUCUGAUAUACAGUGGCCACAUGUACAUGAGACACUGGCUGCACAGUAGCCUGAUACUCCUGUGACAUGACACUACUGUGCAGUAGUAUUAGACUACUGUGCAACAGCGUCACAAAAAAGAUGUUCAUCAGCACAACUGCUCAGUAACUCAGGUUACUGUGCAGUCAUUCAGUACUUGCUUAUACAAGUAUACAAGCAUCUUGUGUAGAUGAGGCCAGUAUAUUUGUAGAUGUGUGUGUUCUGAGAAGAAUAGCAAGAUUAGCAUGUCCCCAGUACUCAGUGAGCCUGGUAAGCAGGGAGAGUGUUGUGAACCUCACCAAAUUUAUCCUGUUACUAUAUCACUUAUUAUUUACCAGCUCCUUUCAUUUUCCCCAGGAUUGUCAUUGAAGGCAGAAAGUUUUUGUCGUGCUGGAAAAGAAGAGGACUUGCACCCUCUAUGGGCUUUUCUUUUUAUUGCUCAAAUUGACUAGCUAGUGUCGUGGAAACACACACAGAGUACUUUUGGGUCAGGUCAGCAGAAGCUUUUAUUCAAAAGAAACUACAGCUGUAGGGGGAGUUCCAAAGUGACAUGGAUUUCCCAAGCACUUGGAAGGGGUCCCCCCCCAAGAGCAAAAUCAGGAGGCUUAUAUACUUUUUAACAGUCGCUUACAACUCAUGUGAUCAUAUAGUGAAAUUAGCAUGAAAAGCGGCUAUAAUAUUACUUCAUUAUUUCUUUGCUGUAAUCAGGAUGGGAAUUAUGGGGGAGGUGAGGUUAGUUCACAAACCUCCUUCUUGCACCUGGAAAUCUACUUUGUACAUACUUUUUUUUUUUUGCUACCUUCAAGGCCGCGGUGAGCGAAGCAGUUGCAGAAGAGUUACAAAGAACAAACACUUGCCCUUAUCUGUUCUACUGUACAGAGCCAGCAAUUCUACACAAAGCGGUUAUGUCAUCUUAUAAAUAAAAUAAUCAAAGUUUAA